This is a long non-coding RNA of Sapajus apella (tufted capuchin), 892 nucleotides long. RefSeq lists it as uncharacterized. Lineage: Eukaryota; Metazoa; Chordata; Mammalia; Primates; Cebidae. The record is from RefSeq and is a predicted model, not a curated record. The transcript is spliced from 3 exons.
CUGUUGAUGGGCUGCUGUGCACAGGUACGGAGUGCACAGGGAACCUAGUAGGCAAGAUCCCUGCCAUCGUGCAUCUUACUGUCAGGUUGGCACAGACCUUAAGGACACACCUGUGAUGCUAGAGUAAAAUUUGUAGGAGCUCAGCUAGAAACUUGACGUUGCAGCCAGUAAUGUUAAGCCCAGAAAAGAAGUCUUUCUUUUUGCCCAGGCUGGUCUUGAGCUCCUGGACUCAAGUGAGCCUCCUGCCUCAGCCUGCCAAAGUAAUGGAAUUACAGGUAUGAGCCACCGUGUCUAGCCAAAAGCCCCUCUUUUUAUCUCCUCAAUGUUUGGAAGUAGAAAUAAUUUAUCUCUAGAAAGAAAACAUUCUGUUAACAAAUGAUGGACGAUGGACAGAGUUCAGAGAAUUUUGUUUCUCACCAGUUCUCAUUUUAGUUCCCCAUGAAUCAACUUCUUACCAAUAAUGACCACUUUUUAUAUGAUAAAUUUAAUACUAUGUCUUGCUGUUUAAAAAACUUUAAAUGAAAUUAACACAUUUAUUUGAAUAAAACAAUGAUUCAUGAAUUGGAAGCACCAAGAUCAAAAGAGGUUAUGGGCUCUGCUCUGGAAGCAGCUACCUUUUAUAGGCUGAACACAGAAGCAAAGUAAAGAAAUUACUUGAAUUGCUGCAGUUAAGUGUUUGCCUUAUUUGGGUAUAGUCUGACGGGAGACUCCUAGUUAUAUAGCCAAUCCACUCAAUGGCUGUUUGUGUUUGGUUAGGGCUUUGUUUUUGUUUGUCUAUUUAAGUCGGUUAUAAGAAAUACCUCUAAACUGGGCUUUGGGCUGGGCGAGGUGGCUCAUGCUUGUAAUCCCAGCACUUUGGAAGGCCGAGGCAGACAGAUCACUUGAGGUCAGG